GCUUACGGCCAUACCACCCUGAGCACGCCCGAUCUUGUCUGAUCUAGGAAGCUAAGCAGGGUCGGGCCUGGUUAGUACUUGGAUGGGAAACCGACUGGGAAUACCAGAUGCUGUAAGCU
This is a ribosomal RNA of Betta splendens (Siamese fighting fish), 119 nucleotides long. Lineage: Eukaryota; Metazoa; Chordata; Actinopteri; Anabantiformes; Osphronemidae. The record is from Ensembl.